UCCCUGGUGGACUAGUGGCUAGCAUGCGGCACUCAGUUGCUGCAGUCCGGGUUCGAUUCCCGGUCAGGAAA
Non-coding RNA from Pangasianodon gigas (Mekong giant catfish), 71 nucleotides. Lineage: Eukaryota; Metazoa; Chordata; Actinopteri; Siluriformes; Pangasiidae. The record is from the annotation of a GenBank genome assembly.